This is a non-coding RNA of Manis javanica (Malayan pangolin), 917 nucleotides long. The record is from RefSeq and is a predicted model, not a curated record. NCBI's taxonomy places the organism in Eukaryota, Metazoa, Chordata, Mammalia, Pholidota, Manidae.
CAUUAGUCAGAUCAACUGACUUCUCAGAGAGAUCACGGAAGACAAUGCACAUUUUUAAGUGUGGGAACACCACUGACACUAAACCAAAGCUUAAGAACUUGAAAGUGAAAGUGACUGGAAAUGAAGCGAGACUGUUGUGCUGGUAAAGAAUGGAAUGUGAAAAUGAAAUAGACAUUUUAAAGGAGCACACUUCUCACUGACCUUCAGUUUACUCAGUGACUCAAACUGGGAGUUUCUGCAAUACAUACGGAGUUGUUCGGUACAGUGACCUACCUGCUCUUUUCUGAUGCCCUUAUCAUGAAUAUCUGGGGACUAACUCACUCUGCCUCCUGGAGAUAAUGAACACAAGCACGGUUUCUUGCUUCCACAGAGAACCACGGGGAUCACAAGGCACUUUCGCAAGUAUUUUCCCAUAUAACCCUCACACAAAUUCUGUGAGGUGGAGACUGCCAUCUGUCCUUUACAGCUAACAUGCCAUCCCAUACAAAAGAGCGCUGAGGAGGUGGAUGCAUGCAGAGAGGCAGCCCAGGAUUCAGAAGCUUGAAGGGGGGCCUAAAGAAACAUGUUCAGUCAAGAAAGCUCACUCUCUGCCACUCUUGGCUCAACCUGACUUGGUCAAAACAGACUGGAGGCAGAUAAUCACCUUUUAUUCUGGCCAGCUAUCUAUCUUGAUUUUAAGUCUGCAGGAGCAGCAGAUGAUCUUCAGUGUUUGUGUUUGUGUUUGCGAGAACAAACACGCAUUUUGCACCUGUGGAAUUUCCAAGCACUCUUGGAGGAACAACACACCCAAAUGGGGGACUUUAGAAGACGUUUGUUAAAAAUGGCAGAGUCACAAGAUAGAAGGAACCACAAGAUGGAAGAAAUUUUGGCUUGGAGAAGAGUCACCCACCAAUCAAAAACAGCUAAUUAAACUUGAU